This 493-nucleotide ribosomal RNA is filed under the name uncultured bacterium. RNAcentral's name for it is "partial 16S ribosomal RNA". It matches the Rfam family "Bacterial small subunit ribosomal RNA", at positions 30 to 523 of the family's 1533-position model. The record is from RNAcentral.
AUUGAACGCUGGCGGCAUGCUUUACACAUGCAAGUCGAACGGUAACAGGUUAAGCUGACGAGUGGCGAACGGGUGAGUAAUGCAUCGGAACGUGCCCUGUCGUGGGGGAUAACGCAGCGAAAGCUGCGCUAAUACCGCAUACGAUCUGAGGAUGAAAGCGGGGGACCGUAAGGCCUGGCGCGAUCGGAACGGCCGAUGUCAGAUUAGGUAGUUGGUGGGGUAAAGGCUCACCAAGCCGACGAUCUGUAGCUGGUCUGACAGGACGACCAGCCACACUGGGACUGAGGCACGGCACAGACUCCUACGGGAGGCAGCAGUGGGGAAUUUUGGACAAUGGGCGCAAACCUGAUCCAGCGAUGCUGCGUGCAGGAAGAAGGCCUUCGGGUUGUAAUCUGCUUUUGUGCGGAGCGAAAAGGCUCUCUCUAAUACAGGGGGCUCAUGACGGUACCGUAAGAAUAAGCACCGGCUAACUACGUGCCAGCCGCCGCCGUAA